This 253-nucleotide ribosomal RNA is filed under the name uncultured bacterium. Its description in RNAcentral is "partial 16S ribosomal RNA". It matches the Rfam family "Bacterial small subunit ribosomal RNA", at positions 524 to 776 of the family's 1533-position model. The record is from RNAcentral.
UACGGGGGGGGCAAGCGUUGUUCGGAAUUACUGGGCGUAAAGGGCUUGUAGGUGGCCAACUAAGUCAGACGUGAAAUCCCUCGGCUUAACCGGGGAACUGCGUCUGAUACUGGAUGGCUAGAGUUUGGGAGAGGGAUGCGGAAUUCCAGGUGUAGCGGUGAAAUGCGUAGAUAUCGUAAGGAAGACCAGUGGCGAAGGCGGGUCUCUGGACAGUUCCUGACGCUGAGGCACGAAGGCCAGGGGAGCAAACGGG